UUGAUCCUGGCUCAGAAUCAACGCUGGCGGCGUGCCUAACACAUGCAAGUCGAACGCGAAAGUCCCGAAAGGGAUUAGUAGAGUGGCAAACGGGUGAGUUACGCGUGGGUGACCUGCCUUCGAGCGGGGGAUAACGUUUCGAAAGGAACUCUAAUACCGCAUGAUGUCCUGCCUUUGAAGAGGUGGAGACCAAAGCCGGUGAUCGCAAGACCUGGCACUUGAAGAGGGGCCCGCGUCCGAUUAGCUAGUUGGUGGGGUAAUGGCUCACCAAGGCUCCGAUCGGUAUCCGGCCUGAGAGGUCGGACGGACACACUGGGACUGAGACACGGCCCAGACUCCUACGGGAGGCUGCAGUGGGGAAUUGUUCGCAAUGGGCGCAAGCCUGACGACGCAACGCCGUGUGGAGGAUGAAGACCUUCGGGUCGUAAACUCCUUUCGAUCGAGACGAAUGGCCUCCGGGUGAACAAUCCGGAGGAAUGACGGUACCGAGAGAAGAAGCUCCGGCUAACUCCGUGCCAGCAGCCGCGGUAAUAAGGU
This 537-nucleotide ribosomal RNA is filed under the name uncultured Acidobacteriota bacterium. RNAcentral describes it as "bacterial SSU rRNA". It matches the Rfam family "Bacterial small subunit ribosomal RNA", at positions 13 to 529 of the family's 1533-position model. Lineage: Bacteria; Pseudomonadati; Acidobacteriota. The record is from RNAcentral.